GAUGAAGAACGCAGCGAAAUGCAAUAAGUAAUGUGAAUUGCAGAAUUCAGUGAAUCAUCGAAUCUUUGAACGCACAUUGCGCCCGCCAGUAUUCUGGCGGGCAUGCCUGUUCGAGCGUCAUUUCAACCAUCAAGCCCCAGGCUUGUGUUGGGGACCUGCGGCUGCCGCAGGCCCUGAAAACCAGUGGCGGGCUCGCUGUCACACCGGGCGUAGUAGAUUUUAUCUCGCUCAGGGCGUGCUGCGGGUUCCGGCCGUUAAAAAGCCUUUUUUACCCAAGGUUGACCUCGGAUCAGGUAGGAAGACCCGCUGAACUUAAGCAUAUCAAUAAGCGGAGGA
Molecule: unclassified non-coding RNA, 336 nt
Filed under: soil metagenome
Description: partial contains 5.8S ribosomal RNA, internal transcribed spacer 2, and large subunit ribosomal RNA
Rfam family: 5.8S ribosomal RNA (bases 1-120)
Source: RNAcentral